This is a long non-coding RNA of Piliocolobus tephrosceles (Ugandan red Colobus), 1738 nucleotides long. NCBI's taxonomy places the organism in Eukaryota, Metazoa, Chordata, Mammalia, Primates, Cercopithecidae. The record is from Ensembl.
AAAUGGCAAUAGCGUAACAAAUGGCAACAGUGUAACAUGUGGCAAAAAUGUAACAAAUGGCAAUAGCGUAAAACAUAGAAAAAGGUUUAACAAUGCAACUAAUCGACUUUUUUUAAACAAGGGAGGACGGUUUUAUAUUUACUCCGUAUACCCUAUGUUUUAUAUUAAUCCGUGUACAAAAUAUAUUAAAACCAAAAAAAAUAUAUAUAUCUCAGAAAAUAUGAAGAUUUGUAUAAAAAAUUUACACCAGAAUUAGUAGAAGAAAAUGAUGAUACAAAUAAUGAAUUCAAUGAAAACAAACUUUCAAGUAGCACAUUAAUCGAUUGGUGUUUAGAAAAAAAAAAAUUUCCAAAAAAAGUAUAAUAUGACUUUAAUGUAUGACUAUAUAUCGAAUUUGCAUAAUAAUGAAUACCAAAAUGUAAGGAGUGUAACUAAUUUUAUAAAAAAUAACGAAGUAAUUAAUAAAGAAGAAUGGGAAAAUAAUAAAUGGCCAUAUUUAACAUAUAAAUAUAUAUUUAAAUAUAAAAAUCCUAUAACUAAAAAAAAUGAUUACUAUACGUAUGAGUAUGUAAUUCCAAAAUUAAUAACAUAUGAUGAAGAUAUUUCUACCGAAUCGAAAUUUGUUACUCCUGAUUAUGAUACACAUAAGGUUUAUGAUCAUUCACCAAUAAAUUCUUUAACAAUUACUGGAUUUAGUGCUCGUAACAUUGAUACUUUUGGAAAAGAAAGAAAUAAAAUUUAUUCAUUCAAUACACCAACUGAUAUUAAAAGAAAUAUAUAUUUUAAUAAUUUAAUGCGAAUAUCUUCAUGUUGUAAUCAUUAUUUAUUUCCAAAUAUAUUGUUUCUGUUGAAUCUACAUACACUUCAAAUUUUAAUAAGAGAUAAAACCGCAGUUGAAACUGAUUAUGUGAUUGAUAAAUUUGAUAAACUUCGAGAUAAACUAAUUCAAACAAAUAUAGAUCAUGUUGAAAAAAAUGAAAAAUAUACUCAUAAUAGUGCUACUACUACUACUACUACUACUAUUUCCGAUACCUUGACAAAUAAAACAUAUGAUAACGAAAUUAAUAAAAUCAAUACUUAUGCAGAAACAUAUAAAAACUCAGACCAAACAGAACAAAAAGAUGUUGAUGAAUAUGACGAAAUGGACAAAGAAAUAUUAAGACACUUAACCCAUAAAAAAAGUUUAUUUGAUAGUCAAAUGCAAGUUUUUAAAAACAAAUACGACGAAAAAAAUAUUUUACAAGAUUAUGAAUUUAUUAAUUUAUGGAAAUAUAAUAAAAACGCAAAUAUAGUAGAAACAUUAAAUAAUAUACCAUUACCAAAAAUUUAUAUAAAUAUUGAUGAUCCAAAAUAUUGUCUUUGGAAAAUUUUACAACACUCAGGAAUGACAGCAUUUUCAGAAAUACCAACUCCUAACAGAAAAUUAGAAGCAUGGCGACAGCAAGUAAAUUUAAAACAGUUUUAUAAACAAAACUUCGAUACUAGCAUAAGUUUAAAAACAUAUUCAAAAAAAGAUAUACAUCAGUAUCAAAUGAAAAUAUUAAAUAAGCCUUAUGACAAAAACAAAACUGUUAGUACGCUUAAUGAAGACCAAAAUCGGAAUCAAACGCAUGAACAGAAGCAAGAGCAAGGGGAAGAUGAUUUAUAUAAUUAUAAAGACGAUUAUAACAACGAUUAUAACAACGAUUAUAACAACGAUCAUAACAACGUCCAUAACAACGUCCAUAACAACGUCCAU